AAUGAACGUUGGCGGCGUGGAUUAGGCAUGCAAGUCGUACGGGCCACGAGUAGCAAUACUUGUGGCCAGUGGCGUAAGGGAGAGUAAUACGUAGGUAUUUACCCUGGGGUCUGGGAUAGCGGCGGGAAACUGCCGGUAAUACCAGAUGAUAUCUCCGGAUCAAAGGUGAGAUUCCGCCCUGGGAGAAGCCUGCGGCCUAUUAGCUAGUUGGCAGGGUAACGGCCUACCAAGGCAAAGAUGGGUAUGGGGCGUGAGAGCGUGCCCCCACUCACUGGGACUGAGACACUGCCCAGACACCUACGGGUGGCUGCAGUCGAGAAUCUUCGGCAAUGGGCGCAAGCCUGACCGAGCGACGCCGCGUGCGGGAUGAAGGCCUUCGGGUUGUAAACCGCUGUCGAAGGGGAGGAAAUUGUAGUGGGUUCACCCAUUAUAUUGACCGAUCCUUGGAGGAAGGGCCGGCUAAUCUCGUGCCAGCAGCCGCGGUAAUACGAGAGGCCCAAACGUUAUUCGGAUUUACUGGGCUUAAAGAGUUCGUAGGCGGUUCGGUAAGUGAGGUGUGAAAUCCCUUGGCUCAACCAAGGAAUUGCGCUUCAAACUGCCGGGCUCGAGGGAGAUAGAGGUGAGCGGAACUGAUGGUGGAGCGGUGAAAUGCGUUGAUAUCAUCAGGAACACCAGANGCGAANGCGGCUCACUGGGUCUCUUCUGACGCUGAGGAACGAAAGCUAGGGGAGCAAACGGGAUUAGAUACCCCGGUAGUCC
Molecule: ribosomal RNA, 759 nt
Filed under: uncultured bacterium
Lineage: Bacteria
Description: bacterial SSU rRNA
Rfam family: Bacterial small subunit ribosomal RNA
Source: RNAcentral